RNAcentral lists this ribosomal RNA (375 nucleotides) under uncultured bacterium. RNAcentral describes it as "bacterial SSU rRNA". It matches the Rfam family "Bacterial small subunit ribosomal RNA", at positions 524 to 898 of the family's 1533-position model. The record is from RNAcentral.
UACGUAGGGUGCGAGCGUUAAUCGGAAUUACUGGGCGUAAAGCGUGCGCAGGCGGUUUGUUAAGACAGAUGUGAAAUCCCCGGGCUUAACCUGGGAAUGGCGUUUGUUACUGGCAAGCUAGAGUGUGUCAGAGGGAGGUAGAAUUCCACGUGUAGCAGUGAAAUGCGUAGAGAUGUGGAGGGAUACCGAUGGCGAAGGCAGCCUCCUGGGAUAACACUGACGCUCAUGCACGAAAGCGUGGGGAGCAAACAGGAUUAGAUACCCUGGUAGUCCACGCCCUAAACGAUGUCAACUGGUUGUUGGGUGACUUGAUCACUUAGUAACGUAGCUAACGCGAGAAGUUGACCGCCUGGGGAGUACGGUCGCAAGAUUAAA